Aedes albopictus (Asian tiger mosquito) is the source of this 1124-nucleotide long non-coding RNA. RefSeq lists it as uncharacterized. The record is from RefSeq and is a predicted model, not a curated record. The transcript has 2 exons. Lineage: Eukaryota; Metazoa; Arthropoda; Insecta; Diptera; Culicidae.
GGUCGACUCUUCCCGAUUUUCUCGAUUUCCAGUCAUAUCUCACAAGAAUUUACAUUUCUAUUCAUAAUUACAAUAUAAUUGAUCAAAUUAUUUCAAAAUCGAUGAAAAUCUUUCAUAUCUGAAAUAUCCGAUAAAAUCGAUUUUAAUUUUAGCAUAUCCAUAUCGAAUCAAAUAUAAUCCGUGCACAUCCCUAUUCAAGAAAUGUCAAAUUAUUUCCCGUUUUUUUUUUUAUUCAGUGAAAACAAAAACAUUGAGAUAUUUUUAUUUCUAUCUUUCUUCUUUCAAUUUGCCAAAAAGUACCUGGUAUUAUACGUGAUGUAAUUUGAAAUGUUCCCAUCAGAGCACCAAUAAUAGCUACAUCGUGUGUGAAUUUACUUUUGCUACGCCUGCCAGUAAUUGUUCUUCAAAACAACUUCUGCUCGAAUUAGUGGGACGCAGAAACAUUCCGGAAUCCUACAUCAAUGAAACACGAGACGAAACGUUUUGUGCUGUGAAUUUGCCUGCAGCUGGCUGGAUCCGACGUUAAAAUCUAUCGGCGAUACCACGACGCAGAAAUCGACCAACAUGAUAAGGACAAGCAUGAUCCCUCAAAUGUAUUGGACCCGGAUAGACUGUCAUUUCUUCGGAUAUGUUGAAUCGAUAUGGGAGGAAAAGUGCUGUGAAAUCAGUAUACAAUAAUCGACUGAUUAUCACGUUUCUGUCUUUCAAUCAAACACCUCAACUGGAGGAAUGUCGUGAUGGCUUAUGUGGCCGCAUGCAGGUGAUCAAUCCGAUUAAUAUUAGGCGCCGUCCACAAAUUACGUAAUGCUGAAGAAGGAGGGCUGAAAUAUGAUCGAGAGUUACGAGCGUUCAUACAAAAGAUUUAGGAUAAUACAAAUGCCGAUAUGUAAAAAAUGGAUGCUGUCUCACGAGAUAACUUUCCUGAAAUUGGUAUUCAAUAGGGGUACCAUUGAGCACUUCAGUCAGAGGCGAUUCUUAACUAGACUUGACACCGUACCAAAUAGCGAGCUGCAAAUUGCGUGCAGUGAAAAGUGACAGGGUCUAUUCCGGAUGGCGCUCGAUAAGAAAAAAUGUUAUACAAAUAUAGGUAAAUUAUAAAAUAAAACAACCCUCAUCCUUCCUUA